UACGUAGGCAGCGAGCGUUGUUCGGAGUUACUGGGCGUAAAGAGUGUGUAGGUGGUUUUCUAAGUUUGGUGUGAAAUCUCCCGGCUCAACUGGGAGGGUGCGCCGAAUACUGGAAGGCUUGAGUAUGGGAGAGGAAAGCGGAAUUCCUGGUGUAGCGGUGAAAUGCGUAGAUAUCAGGAGGAACACCUGCGGUGUAGACGGCUUUCUGGACCAUCACUGACACUGAGACACGAAAGCGUGGGGAGCAAACAG
RNAcentral lists this ribosomal RNA (252 nucleotides) under uncultured bacterium. RNAcentral describes it as "partial 16S ribosomal RNA". It matches the Rfam family "Bacterial small subunit ribosomal RNA", at positions 524 to 775 of the family's 1533-position model. The record is from RNAcentral.